UGUUCCUGGUGGUAAUUUCUUCUUUUAGUGGUAACUCCUCGUUGUCUACUUCUUCCAUUUUGCUCUAAUUUGUAGAUUUGUAUUAGGUCUCCUGUUUCUCUUCUUUGUUCUAGUGUUGGUAAGUCCAUUUCCUUUAGUGUCUCCUCGUAUGUCAAUCCCUGGAACCAUUUUUGUUGCCAUCUUUUGUAUUCUUUCUAGUUUCUUGAUGUGUUUCUUCUUAUGGGGAGACCACACUGCCUCUGCAUGUGUGUGUGUGUGUGUGUGUGUGUGUGUGUGUGUGUGUGUGUGUGUGUGAAGAUUGACUGACUGAUGAAUGAAUGACUGUGAGAUUAAGGUUGGUAUUACAAGACAGUUUCCCUGCUCACAUCAGCUACUUCUAAAGGUCAAAGGGGGAUAUCAGUCAGGCUCUAAUGAGUGUUUUUCAGGCUCAUGGUACAGAAGAAGGGUUAAACUACCACCAGGGUCAUAAAACUACUCCUGGAAAUGCCCACAACUCCUGCGAAAGCCUUGUCAAAUAGGUGUUCUUGGGCGGGGAAAUGUCUUAUGAUACGACCCUAAGUAAAUAACUUCCUGAUGGAGUGGAUGAUUGACUUGGCAACCUGUAGCCUUACUCUCAGCCAUUUCAAGUUCUUGACUGAUGUACUAACACCCUCAGAUUGGCUACAGUGAAGGUCGUGGCAGAGAGUGUACUCAAACUCCUACUGUGAGCUACUCCUGAUGCCUGCGCCCUCACCACCCCUGUGAAGGACGCCCAGCUGACCCAACCCUCCACGUGUGCCCCUGAGAGCUCCCUGCAGCACAGCGAGUCUCUUCUUGGACGGCUCAGAGGCACAGAAGAUGUAGCCAGACUUGCCGGCCAAACCCGAGGGUGUGUGUUGAUGCUGGGACCAAGAAGAAGAAGAAGAGGAAGAGGAGGAGGAGAAGGAAGAUGAUAAUCGCAACAGGAAGAUCAGAAGAGGAGGAGGAAGAAGAAGAAGAAGAGGAGGAGGAAGAAUGGAAGAAGAAAAGAGAACACACACACACACACACACACAUAUAUAUGACAAACACCUUUUUCUAUAUUUUUCAUUUUUAUUAGUCCAUAAAACAUACAUUAGCUAUAUACAUAUAAUACAACAUAUGCAUAACUAUAUACAUUAGACCGUAGAGUGAGUGAGUGAGAGACUCGAGAGGUGAGAUAGAGAGGCGCCCCCCCUCUCUCUCUCUCUCUCUCUCUCUCUCUCUCUCUCUCUCACCUCACCACAGCUCACAGGACCCCACAGAUGUACCCCUACAGUAUGUUGAUAACCCCCCACAGACACAUACCCCCCCAGCCUCAUGAAGGACCCCCUCCUCCCUCCCUCCCCCCCUAGCCAACAUAGCCUUAUCAAUGUUACUAAGUGUAUGUAUGUAUGUGUGUUUUUCUAUUAAUAAAAAGUUAAUUUGUAAUGUUUAUGUGUUCUAUUCCUAUGAGAGAGGAAAAGGUAAAGAGGGAGAGAGAGAGAACGAAAUGAGAAGCAAAAGAGAGAGAGAGGAGGUAAGGGAAGGAGAGAGAAGGAAAAUAAAGAAUGAAAGAACAG
This is a long non-coding RNA of Eriocheir sinensis (Chinese mitten crab), 1559 nucleotides long. RefSeq lists it as uncharacterized. The transcript is spliced from 3 exons. Lineage: Eukaryota; Metazoa; Arthropoda; Malacostraca; Decapoda; Varunidae. The record is from RefSeq and is a predicted model, not a curated record.